Molecule: transfer RNA, 73 nt
Filed under: Planctomycetota bacterium
Lineage: Bacteria; Pseudomonadati; Planctomycetota
Description: Planctomycetes bacterium (activated sludge metagenome) tRNA-Ile
Rfam family: tRNA
About the family: Transfer RNA (tRNA) molecules are approximately 80 nucleotides in length.
Source: RNAcentral
GGGCCCUUAGCUCAAUGGUCAGAGCAGUCGGCUCAUAACCGAUGGGUUGCCGGUUCGAAUCCGGCAGGGCCCA